This 477-nucleotide ribosomal RNA is filed under the name uncultured bacterium. RNAcentral's name for it is "partial 16S ribosomal RNA". It matches the Rfam family "Bacterial small subunit ribosomal RNA", at positions 28 to 507 of the family's 1533-position model. The record is from RNAcentral.
GAUUAACGCUGGCGGCGUGCCUAACACAUGCAAGUCGAACGAUGAAACCUAGUCUACUUCUUCGCAAAUACAUUAAGCGGAUUAGUGGCGAAUGGGCUAGUAACGCGUGCGUAACCUGCCUUACUAAUGGGGUUAGCCUUUGGAAACGGAGAAUAAUACCCUAUAAAACCAUACACGCACAUGCUAGAAUGGUCAAUGUGAUAGCGGUGUAAGAUGGACUUGCGUCUGAUUAGCUAGUGGGUGAGAUAAAAGCUCACCAAGGCAAGGAUCAGUGGCCGGCUGGGGAGAGGGUACGGCCAAAUUGGGACGGAGACACGGCCCGGACUCCUACGGGAGGAAGCAGGGGGGAAUUUAGCAAAAGGGGGGAAACCCGGAUGCAGCGACGCCGCGGGAUUAAGAAGGCCUUAGGGUUGUAAAAAUCUUUUGGAUGGGAAGAAAAUGACAGUACUAGAAGAAUAAGGCCCGGCUAAUUACGUG